AUACGUAGGGUGCAAGCGUUAAUCGGAAUUACUGGGCGUAAAGCGUGCGCAGGCGGUUUUGUAAGACAGAGGUGGAAUCCCCGGGCUCAACCUGGGAACUGCCUUUGUGACGGCAAGGCUAGAGUACGGCAGAGGGGGAUGGAAUUCCGCGUGUAGCAGUGAAAUGCGUAGAUAUGCGGAGGAACACCGAUGGCGAAGGCAAUCCCCUGGGCCUGUACUGACGCUCAUGCACGAAAGCGUGGGGAGCAAACAGGAGUAGAUACCCUGGUAGUCCACGCCCUAAACGAUGUCAACCGGUUGUUGGGUCUUCAUUGACUCAGUAACUAAGCUAACACGUGAAGUUGACCGCCUGGGGAGUACGGCCGCAAGGUUGAAACUCAAAUGAAUUGACGGGG
RNAcentral lists this ribosomal RNA (395 nucleotides) under uncultured bacterium. RNAcentral's name for it is "partial 16S ribosomal RNA". It matches the Rfam family "Bacterial small subunit ribosomal RNA", at positions 523 to 918 of the family's 1533-position model. The record is from RNAcentral.